AUGUAUCUUCAUCUCCAUUCUCUCUCUGUUUCUCUUUCUCUCAUUCUCUCUCCGUCUAUCUGUCGCUCUGUCUCUCUUUCUCUCCCUCUCUCUCUGUCCUUCCAGAAAAUUCCCAGCGGGAUUCCCCUGCCCCCGGGCGUCCAACCACCCACUCGCCCACGGUCCCAGCCCAGCACAGCUGCUCCCGCCCCAGAGACUCCACCCCCAUCGUACUCCAACGCGACGCUGAGGAAUCAGGCCAGCGAAGACCCUCCCGUCUUCCUGCCGAACUCCGACAGCAUCGACCAGGAGGAUGUGCCUGACGGGGAGGAGCAGGUGGUGGUGAAGGUCCACUUCACGUACACCCUGGCUCUCAGCAUCAACCCCUAUGCCUCCUACAAGGAGCUCCAGGACAGGAUUGCCCGCAAGUUGGGCCAGCCGCCGACCAACCUCCGCCUCAGGCACCGAGCGUCUGGCUCCCAACUGCUCACGCCCCUUGAGCCAGGCAGCGGGUCGGGUGAGGAGUCGUACCCACUGCUGCCUGUGGUAGAGGAGGGGAGAGCUACUCUGUGGUGCCAGGUACACACACACACACACACACACACACACACACACACACACACACACACACACACACACACACACACACGUGUGUGUGUGAACACUCAGGAGAUAAUGUGA
This 660-nucleotide long non-coding RNA is filed under the name Gadus morhua (Atlantic cod). RNAcentral describes it as "lncRNA (ENSGMOG00000030240.1)". The record is from RNAcentral. Lineage: Eukaryota; Metazoa; Chordata; Actinopteri; Gadiformes; Gadidae.